GAUGAACGCUGGCGGCGUGCCUAAUACAUGCAAGUCGAGCGAACGGACGAGAAGCUUGCUUCUCUGAUGUUAGCGGCGGACGGGUGAGUAACACGUGGAUAACCUACCUAUAAGACUGGGAUACUUCGGGAAACCGGAGCUAAUACCGGAUAAUAUUUUGAACCGCAUGGUUCAAAAGUGAAAGACGGUCUUGCUGUCACUUAUAGAUGGAUCCGCGCUGCAUUAGCUAGUUGGUAAGGUAACGGCUUACCUAGGCAACGAUGCAUAGCCGACCUGAGAGGGUGAUCGGCCACACUGGAACUGAGACACGGUCCAGACUCCUACGGGAGGCAGCAGUAGGGAAUCUUCCGCAAUGGGCGAAAGCCUGACGGAGCAACGCCGCGUGAGUGAUGAAGGUCUUCGGAUCGUAAAACUCUGUUAUUAGGGAAGAACAUAUGUGUAAGUAACUGUGCACAUCUUGACGGUACCUAAUCAGAAAGCCACGGCUAACUACGUG
RNAcentral lists this ribosomal RNA (496 nucleotides) under uncultured bacterium. RNAcentral's name for it is "partial 16S ribosomal RNA". It matches the Rfam family "Bacterial small subunit ribosomal RNA", at positions 28 to 507 of the family's 1533-position model. The record is from RNAcentral.